Molecule: non-coding RNA, 995 nt
Organism: Microcebus murinus (gray mouse lemur)
Lineage: Eukaryota; Metazoa; Chordata; Mammalia; Primates; Cheirogaleidae
Source: RefSeq, a predicted model, not a curated record
GGCUCACGGCCAGUCGCUGUACCCGCCGGCACUCCCCUACCUGGAAGAUGUCUGCAAGGUUGUCGAGGGGAGAGUGUCAACCACAGGACUUGGGCUCUUUUGGCUGUGAAAUGUGGAAACAGACCUCCCCAGCUCAUGAGGGCUCUGGAAAAUCUAGCACAAGGUGAACCCCACGCAGGAGGCACGCUGACACAUCCGAUUGGAACCUCAAAGACAGAACUCCCGGCAAGCCUGUGACCCUGGAGCACACAACUGAGCCCUGCAAACCCUCGGGCUCUUGUUUACAUCCUGCUUUUGCCAGUUUGCCUGGAACGGUCUUCACCCCAUUCUGUACCCUUUCCUGUCUCCCCUCUCCCAACUUGUUCCCCUCCCCUUUUCUGGUACAGUCUCCCCAUCUAUGACAUCAUCUGGAAGCCCAGCCCCACCCUUAAUUGUACUUUUGUGGCUGGCCUGUCUGCUCUGUCCAUCUUCAGAGUCCCGGCUUCCCAGUCUGUAAACCACCCUUGGGGCCAGCAUGGUGCCAGGCUGGCGCUGGAGCCCAGAACCCCUUAUUUACUGACCCCUCCCUGUGCUGAGGGCCCCACGGGCGCCCACUUGUCUGUCCCUGGCUAAGCCAGAGCCCAGGCUGGAGGAGACGCCGUGAGGACCCUAGAAGGGUGCCAGCCUCGUCCUCAGUUAUCAGACGUCUUCCCAGCCGCUUCACCCCCAAGUAAAUCGCUCUUGCCCAGCUCUCACCUGCCAUGAGGAAGUGGGUCCCAGCCCCUGGGGAUCCCCUCUCCCUACCUGUCCAGGCCUCACCCUCUUCUCAGGAGGCGACAGUUGCUGCACAGCGCCCCCUGGAGGCCUUGCCAAUCUGUCCCUGCUGGCAUCUUGGCCCCCAAAUGCUCUGCCAGCAACCCCACAGGCACUCGGGAGGAGGGCCCCGCUACUGCCCCCAGAAAAGAUGACAAAGCACUAGAAGCCAGCUUCAGCACAAUUAAAACUUUUUAAUGCAA